This 223-nucleotide long non-coding RNA is filed under the name Panax ginseng (ginseng). Its description in RNAcentral is "long non-coding RNA (PGIN_LNC003435)". Lineage: Eukaryota; Viridiplantae; Streptophyta; Magnoliopsida; Apiales; Araliaceae. The record is from RNAcentral.
GACUAUAUAUAUUCGAGAGUCCUGAUCACGUACUGAAGGGGUAGAUCCAACUUGCAAGAUGAAAACGCUGAGAAUAUAUAUUGUCAGAGAUCGAUCGAUAACUACUCGGGUGUUGAAAGUAAGUAUAUAUGGAAUCAAAAGAAUGUGCAAGUGAACAAUGGAUAUUGUCUAGAUAUUUGAGUAGUGAAAAUAGAGUAUAUAUGAGAAAUUAACUUAAUUUUUG